Phoenix dactylifera (date palm) is the source of this 1807-nucleotide non-coding RNA. NCBI's taxonomy places the organism in Eukaryota, Viridiplantae, Streptophyta, Magnoliopsida, Arecales, Arecaceae. The record is from RefSeq and is a predicted model, not a curated record.
GUUUGCUUUAAAAAAAAAUUGCUGGGAAAAUUUUCUUUGGUCGAGUCGAACUAAUUGGGAUAAUAUCUGAACCCAAACCACACGCACCACCUGCAUCUAAGGAUCGAGCUUCCAUCCUAGUAGUCCAACAUCUAUCAUGUAUCUCUUCUCUUCCACAAUUCAGCUCAACGCGAGUUUCCUUCGCGUUGGUAGCGGUACUCGUAUCCACGUUACUCUUCCCUCCCAUGUCCAAAGAAUGGAACAAACUUUUCUCAUCCACGUUGGAUCCCAGCCGACCACACCCAUUCACAUUUCCCAGCCAUUUACACAUCAUCCCACACGGCCGUCCACAUCCAAGGAACAGAGCCAGCAUCCAAGCCAAUCUCAUCCGCAUCCAAAGCCCUUCCAAGUCAUUCUUUUCCCCUAUUUCAGAAUGGAGCCACAUGAUCCUCCGCGUGAUCAUCUCCCUCCACGCCAGCCCGGAUUAGCUCCAAUUCCAGCGGUCUGCAAGGUGUCCACAAGUCCUCUCAGCCCCGCUCGUGAUCCUUCCGCAUCCAAAGCAUCUCCCAAGUAUUCUUCGACUUCAUCCUCCCAGCAUCCUUAUCUUCUCUCGCAUCCGUUUCUCCCAAACAACUGGAUUUUCUUCCGCCGAAUUCCCAUCUAUUGUCCUCCUCCCCUUCGUCCACAUCAAAAGGAAUCCCUCAACCAGCUGAGAUCCUCCCAGUUUGCAUCCUUAUCUCUUGCUUCGGAUAAGUCCCAAACUUCAUCCUCAUCCCCUGUGUCCAGCUAACAAAGCACUCCUCGUUUCUUCCUCCCGUUCGAAAUUGACUCCAUCCACGGAUGAGUUCACCUCCCCUGUUCCGCUUAUCCCUUCCCUCCGGAUGAGAACCAGCAACCAUACAACAUAUGGAUUAGCUCCAUCUCCCAAACAUCCAUAGCCAAUCUCGUUCACAAAUCAAGCUCCUUCAUUCUGUUUUCCUCCCAGCAUCUGCAACAAUCCGGUCUUCAUCUCAGCCGUGAACAGCAUCCCAGCAAAUUUUGGAAUCCCAGCUGCCAGCCGAGUCCCAAACGUCCCAGCCAUCUUUCGGCUUGAUCCCAACAUCCAAGAUUUUCUUCCGGAUUCUUCCCAGAUCUAUCCACAUACGUGUUUUCGCUUCCUCUCCGCGAUCAGCUCUUAUCUCAAGACUUCACAGGCAUCCCGAGCUUCACGAUUCGCUAUCCUUCUCCGAAUCAAGCCAAACUCCAUCCUCCCCUGUUUUGUAACAGGGUCCCAACUCAUCUUCACAAAGUCUAGAAACCAACAGCCGUCCGAGAUCCUCUCCAUUGAUUCUCCCACAGGAUAAGCUCGAAUCCUCUGCACAACAAUCCAGCAGCAUCGGAUUCCUCUGCUUCGGAACAGAUUGCUAACACUAUCUCUGGUUUAUCUUCAUCUCGUGGCCAGCCAAAUCCUGAGCUUCACAGGUCGUUCUCCCAUCUGGAUCAACUCCAAGGAGCAGCAUCUAUCCACCAUCCGCGGAAGAGAUAAAGCCUCCACAGCAUUAUCCACCCAUUCGGAAUAGCCACAAGGAAGAGAGAGAGGAAGAUGGGCUGCCUAUAUAAAGGGAAGACUUUGAUCAGAUUGGACAAUUCCUUCCCCACCGGGGGGCUUCUCCAAUUCUUCUUCCCCACCGGGGGACCAUCGCAUCAUCAUCUCCUUCAUCCUCUCAUGCUUCACCAGUCCUUCUUCACCACCGGGGGUUGCUCCCAUCAAGCUUGGCUGUUCUCAUGUUGAGUUCCCACCAAAGAACCAAGUGAGAGAAAAGUUUGGGUACUUUGGGAAUAUUUCAAA